Triticum dicoccoides is the source of this 612-nucleotide long non-coding RNA. RefSeq lists it as uncharacterized. The record is from RefSeq and is a predicted model, not a curated record. NCBI's taxonomy places the organism in Eukaryota, Viridiplantae, Streptophyta, Magnoliopsida, Poales, Poaceae. The transcript is spliced from 3 exons.
UCCACCGGCGCCAUAGCCGGCAUGGUGCACGCGCCGGGCAUCCACUACCUCCCCGCUGUCUAUAAGACAACCCCAACGCCCGGGACGAACCCUAGUUGUCCUCCCCCCUUUCCCCCGCGUCGUUUUCUUCCUCUCCCGCACACGUCUGAGCUCCACCCGCCAUGUCCAUCGUCGUCCUUGUGUCCAUCGUCCACCUCAUCGGUUGAGGCCUCUGUAGGAGCUGUGUGUGCUUCUCUACAUCGACUCCGAGGAGCAUCUCGAGCAGGAGAUCGCCACAACACAAGGAUCGACGUCGUCUUCUACCUCCGGCCACCGUGGCUCCAUCGACGAAUUCUUCACCUUCACUGCAUCCCCGACUUCCUCGAGCUCCUCUCCCGACUCGCUACCUCGUGACGAUGCUGAUGCCCCUGUGAUUGACUACGUCACUGACGACCCUUCCUUGCCAGAGCAACCAGGCAAGCCCCCCCUUUGAUCAUCCCGAUGUCGGUGUCCAGGAGAUAGACACCACCGCUAGUGCCUACUACCACGUGACGGACGCCGACGACCAGGAGUAGUUAGGAGGCUCCCAGGCAGGAGGCCUUGCCUUUUCGAUCAUGUUGCUUUUGUCCUAGU